This 497-nucleotide ribosomal RNA is filed under the name uncultured bacterium. RNAcentral's name for it is "partial 16S ribosomal RNA". It matches the Rfam family "Bacterial small subunit ribosomal RNA", at positions 28 to 507 of the family's 1533-position model. The record is from RNAcentral.
GAUGAACGCUGGCGGCGUGCCUAAUACAUGCAAGUCGAGCGAACAGACGAGGAGCUUGCUCCUCUGACGUUAGCGGCGGACGGGUGAGUAACACGUGGAUAACCUACCUAUAAGACUGGGAUAACUUCGGGAAACCGGAGCUAAUACCGGAUAACAUGUUGAACCGCAUGGUUCAACAGUGAAAGACGGUCUUGCUGUCACUUAUAGAUGGAUCCGCGCCGCAUUAGCUAGUUGGUAAGGUAACGGCUUACCAAGGCAACGAUGCGUAGCCGACCUGAGAGGGUGAUAGGCCACACUGGAACUGAGACACGGUCCAGACUCCUACGGGAGGCAGCAGUAGGGAAUCGUCCGCAAUGGGCGAAAGCCUGACGGAGCAACGCCGCGUGAGUGAAGAAGGUCUUCGGAUCGUAAAACUCUGUUAUUAGGGAAGAACAAAUGUGUAAGUAACUAUGCACGUCUUGACGGUACCUAAUCAGAAAGCCACGGCUAACUACGUG